AGUGAACGCUGGCGGUAGGCCUAACACAUGCCAGUCGAACGGCAGCACAGUAAGAGCUUGCUCUUACGGGUGGCGAGUGGCGGACGGGUGAGGAAUACAUCGGAAUCUACUUUUUCGUGGGGGAUAACGUAGGGAAACUUACGCUAAUACCGCAUACGACCUACGGGUGAAAGCAGGGGAUCUUCGGACCUUGCGCGAUUGAAUGAGCCGAUGUCGGAUUAGCUAGUUGGCGGGGUAAAGGCCCACCAAGGCGACGAUCCGUAGCUGGUCUGAGAGGAUGAUCAGCCACACUGGAACUGAGACACGGUCCAGACUCCUACGGGAGGCAGCAGUGGGGAAUACUGGACAAUGGGCGCAAGCCUGAUCCAGCCAUACCGCGUGGGUGAAGAAGGCCUUCGGGUUGUAAAGCCCUUUUGUUGGGAAAGAAAAGCAGCAGGUUAAUACCCCGCUGUUCUGACGGUACCCAAAGAAUAAGCACCGGCUAACUUCGUG
This 492-nucleotide ribosomal RNA is filed under the name uncultured bacterium. RNAcentral's name for it is "partial 16S ribosomal RNA". It matches the Rfam family "Bacterial small subunit ribosomal RNA", at positions 29 to 507 of the family's 1533-position model. The record is from RNAcentral.